GGUAAACAUUGGCGGCGUGCUUUAAGCAUGCAAGUAGAACGGGAGUUCCGGCUUGCCGGAACAAGAGUUGCGAACGGGUGAGUAACACGUGGGUGAUCUGCCCUGCACUUCGGGAUAAGCCUGGGAAACUGGGUCUAAUACCGGAUAGGACCACUGCCUGCAUGGGGGGUGGUGGAAAGCUUUUGCGGUGUGGGAUGGGCCCGCGGCCUAUCAGCGUGUUGGUGGGGUGAUGGCCGACCAAGGCGACGACGGGUAGCCGGCCUGAGAGGGUGACCGGCCACACUGGGACUGAGAUACGGCCCAGACUCCUACGGGAGGCAGCAGUGGGGAAUAUUGCACAAUGGGCGCAAGCCUGAUGCAGCGACGCCGCGUGAGGGAUGACGGCCUUCGGGUUGUAAACCUCUUUCAGCAUCGACGAAGCGAAAGUGACGGUAGGUGCAGAAGAAGGACCGGCCAACUACGUGCCAGCCGCCGCAGUAA
Molecule: ribosomal RNA, 480 nt
Filed under: uncultured bacterium
Lineage: Bacteria
Description: partial 16S ribosomal RNA
Rfam family: Bacterial small subunit ribosomal RNA
Source: RNAcentral